UGGGGAAUAUUGCACAAUGGGCGCAAGCCUGAUGCAGCCAUGCCGCGUGUAUGAAGAAGGCCUUCGGGUUGUAAAGUACUUUCAGCGGGGAGGAAGGCGAUAAGGUUAAUAACCUUGUCGAUUGACGUUACCCGCAGAAGAAGCACCGGCUAACUCCGUGCCAGCAGCCGCGGUAAUACGGAGGGUGCAAGCGUUAAUCGGAAUUACUGGGCAUAAAGCGCACGCAGGCGGUCUGUCAAGUCGGAUGUGAAAUCCCCGGGCUCAACCUGGGAACUGCAUUCGAAACUGGCAGGCUAGAGUCUUGUAGAGGGGGGUAGAAUUCCAGGUGUAGCGGUGAAAUGCGUAGAGAUCUGGAGGAAUACCGGUGGCGAAGGCGGCCCCCUGGACAAAGACUGACGCUCAGGUGCGAAAGCGUGGGGAGCAAACA
This 427-nucleotide ribosomal RNA is filed under the name uncultured bacterium. RNAcentral's name for it is "partial 16S ribosomal RNA". It matches the Rfam family "Bacterial small subunit ribosomal RNA", at positions 355 to 774 of the family's 1533-position model. The record is from RNAcentral.